UACGUAGGGGGCGAGCGUUGUCCGGAAUUAUUGGGCGUAAAGAGCUCGUAGGCGGUUUGUCGCGUCUGCUGUGAAAACCCGAGGCUCAACCUCGGGCCUGCAGUGGGUACGGGCAGACUAGAGUGCGGUAGGGGAGAUUGGAAUUCCUGGUGUAGCGGUGGAAUGCGCAGAUAUCAGGAGGAACACCGAUGGCGAAGGCAGAUCUCUGGGCCGUAACUGACGCUGAGGAGCGAAAGCAUGGGGAGCGAACAGG
This 253-nucleotide ribosomal RNA is filed under the name uncultured bacterium. RNAcentral's name for it is "partial 16S ribosomal RNA". It matches the Rfam family "Bacterial small subunit ribosomal RNA", at positions 524 to 776 of the family's 1533-position model. The record is from RNAcentral.